GAUGAACGCUAGCUACAGGCUUAACACAUGCAAGUCGAGGGGUAACGAGAGGGAAGCUUGCUUUCCUUGUCGACGACCGGCGCACGGGUGAGUAACGCGUAUCCAACCUGCCCCCAACUAGGGAAUAACCUUGCGAAAGUAAGACUAAUACCCUAUAAUUUCCUCAGAUGCCAUCUGACGAGGAAUAAAGAUUUAUCGGUUGUGGAUGGGGAUGCGUCUGAUUCGCUUGUUGGCGGGGUAACGGCCCACCAAGGCAACGCUCAGGAGGGGUUCUGAGAGGAAGGUCCCCCACAUUGGAACUGAGACACGGUCCAAACUCCUACGGGAGGCAGCAGUGAGGAAUAGUGGUCAAUGGGCGGAAGCCUGAACCAGCCAAGUAGCGUGCAGGAUGACGGCCCUAUGGGUUGUAAACUGCUUUUAUACAGGAAUAAAGUUAGCCACGUGUGGUUAUUUGUAGGUACUGUAUGAAUAAGGACCGGCUAAUUCCGUGCCAGCAGCCGCAGUAA
RNAcentral lists this ribosomal RNA (506 nucleotides) under uncultured bacterium. Its description in RNAcentral is "partial 16S ribosomal RNA". It matches the Rfam family "Bacterial small subunit ribosomal RNA", at positions 28 to 523 of the family's 1533-position model. The record is from RNAcentral.